GAUGAACGCUGGCGGCGUGCCUAAUACAUGCAAGUCGAGCGAACAGAUGAGGAGCUUUCUCCUCUGACUUUAUCAGCGGACGGGUGAUUAACACGUGGAUAACCUACCUAUAAGACUGGGAUAACUUCGGGAAACCGGAGCUACUACCGGAUAAUAUAUUGAACCGCAUGGUUCAAUAGUUAAAGACGGUUUUGCUGUCACUUAUAGAUGAAUCCGCGCCGCAUUAGUUAGUUGGUAAGGUAACGGAUUACCAAGGCAACGAUGCGUAGCCGACCUGAGAGGGUGGUCGGCCAGCCGGGAACUGAGACACGGCCGCGACUCCUAGGGGAGGCAGCGGUAGAGAAUCUUACGCAAUGGGGGAGAGCCUGACGGAGCACAGCCGCGUGAGGGAUGAAGGUCUUAGGCUCGUAGAACUCUGUUAUUAGGGAAGAACAAAUGUGUAAGUAACUAUGCACGUCUUGACGGUACCUAAUCAGAAAGCCACGGCUAACUACGUG
Molecule: ribosomal RNA, 497 nt
Filed under: uncultured bacterium
Lineage: Bacteria
Description: partial 16S ribosomal RNA
Rfam family: Bacterial small subunit ribosomal RNA
Source: RNAcentral